Molecule: ribosomal RNA, 498 nt
Filed under: uncultured soil bacterium
Lineage: Bacteria
Description: bacterial SSU rRNA
Rfam family: Bacterial small subunit ribosomal RNA
Source: RNAcentral
AGAAUGAACGCUGGCGGCGCGCCUAAUACAUGCAAGUCGAGCGAGAAGACGUAGCAAUACGUUUGUAAAGCGGCGAACGGGUGAGGAAUACAUGGGUAACCUACCCUCGAGUGGGGAAUAACUAGCCGAAAGGUUAGCUAAUACCGCGUAUGCUCCUUGGACUUCGGUUCAGGGAGGAAAGCGAUACCGUGGGUAUCGCGCUCUUGGUUGGGCUCAUGUCCUAUCAGCUUGUUGGUGAGGUAACGGCUCACCAAGGCUUCGACGGGUAGCUGGUCUGAGAGGACGAUCAGCCACACUGGCACUGCGACACGGGCCAGACUCCUACGGGAGCAGCAGUAAGGAAUAUUGCGCAAGUGGGACGAAAGCCUGACGCGAGCGACGCCGCGGUGGGGAUGAAGGUCUUCGGAUUCGUAACCCCGUUUCGGGAGGAAGAGUGGAACGAGCAAGUCGUUCGGACGUACCUCCGAGAGCAGCCACGCUAACUCGUGCCAGCAGCCG